RNAcentral lists this ribosomal RNA (107 nucleotides) under marine eukaryotic metagenome. The record is from RNAcentral.
UGGUGACCAUUGCGGUAGGGUUCACCUCUUCCCAUCCCGAACAGAGAAGUUAAGCCUGCCAGCGCCGAUGGUACUGCCCCAACAGGUGGGAGAGUAGGUCGUCGCCA